Molecule: ribosomal RNA, 487 nt
Filed under: uncultured bacterium
Lineage: Bacteria
Description: partial 16S ribosomal RNA
Rfam family: Bacterial small subunit ribosomal RNA
Source: RNAcentral
GAUGAACGCUAGCGAUAGGCUUAACACAUGCAAGUCGAGGGGCAGCACAAGGUAGCUUGCUAUCUGGGUGGCGACCGGCGCACGGGUGCGUAACGCGUAUGCAACUUGCCCUAUACAGGAGGAUAACCCGUCGAAAGACGGACUAAUACUGCGUAUGCUCACAACUUGGCAUCAAGUGGUGAGGAAAGAAAUUCGGUAUAGGAUAGGCAUGCGUCCCAUUAGCUUGUUGGUGAGGUAACGGCUCACCAAGGCAACGAUGGGUAGGGGAACUGAGAGGUUUAUCCCCCACACUGGUACUGAGACACGGAUCAGACUCCUACGGGAGGCAGCAGUGAGGAAUAUUGGUCAAUGGGCGCGAGCCUGAACCAGCCAAGUCGCGUGAAGGAUGACUGUCUUAUGGAUUGUAAACUUCUUUUAUACGGGAAUAACAAGAGUCACGUGUGACUCCCUGCAUGUACCGUAUGAAUAAGCAUCGGCUAACUCCGUG